This 443-nucleotide ribosomal RNA is filed under the name uncultured bacterium. RNAcentral describes it as "partial 16S ribosomal RNA". It matches the Rfam family "Bacterial small subunit ribosomal RNA", at positions 338 to 795 of the family's 1533-position model. The record is from RNAcentral.
CCUACGGGAGGCAGCAGUGGGGAAUAUUGGGCAAUGGGCGAAAGCCUGACCCAGCAAUGCCGCGUGAAUGAAGAAGUAUUUCGGAUUGUAAAAUUCUGUCCUCUGGGAAGAAAAUAAUGACGGUUCCACAAGAGGAAGCCCCGGCUAACUACGGGCCAGCAGCCGCGGUAAUACGGAGGGGGCGAGCGUUGUCCGGAAUUACUGGGCGUAAAGGGAGCGUAGGCGGUAAUACAAGUCUCAUGUGAAAUACCCGGGCUGAACUUGGGGGUUGCAUGGGAAACUGUAGAGCUUGAGUACAGGAGGGGCAGGCGGAAUUCCUGGUGUAGCGGUGAAAUGCAUAGAUAUUAGGAGGAACACCAGUGGCGAAGGCGGCUUGCUGGACUGAAACGGACGCUGAGGCUCGAAAGCGUGGGGAGCAAACAGGAUUAGAUACCCCAGUAGUC